UACGUAGGGUGCGAGCGUUAAUCGGAAUUACUGGGCGUAAAGCGUGCGCAGGCGGUUCGUUGUGUCGGCGGUGAAAUCCCAGGCUUAACCUGGGAAGUGCGCGGAAAACUGGCGAGCUUGAAUGCCGGAGAGGGUCGGAAUUCCCGGUGUAGAGGUGAAAUUCGUAGAUAUCGGGAGGAACACCAGUGGCGAAGGCGGCGACCUGGACGGACAUUGACGCUGAGACGCGAAAGCGUGGGGAGCAAACAGG
Molecule: ribosomal RNA, 250 nt
Filed under: uncultured bacterium
Lineage: Bacteria
Description: partial 16S ribosomal RNA
Rfam family: Bacterial small subunit ribosomal RNA
Source: RNAcentral